GACAGAGGGGGCAAGCGUUGCUCGGAAUUACUGGGCGUAAAGGGCGCGUAGGCGGGAUGGCAAGUCGGUCGUGAAAUCCCUCGGCUCAACCGAGGAACGUCGAUCGAUACUGCUGUUCCUGAGGAUUGCAGAGGAGACUGGAAUUCCUGGUGUAGCGGUGAAAUGCGCAGAUAUCAGGAAGAACACCCGUGGCGAAGGCGGCUCUCUGGGACGGUACUGACGCUGAGACGCGAAAGCGUGGGGAGCGAACAGG
This 253-nucleotide ribosomal RNA is filed under the name uncultured bacterium. RNAcentral describes it as "partial 16S ribosomal RNA". It matches the Rfam family "Bacterial small subunit ribosomal RNA", at positions 524 to 776 of the family's 1533-position model. The record is from RNAcentral.